This 497-nucleotide ribosomal RNA is filed under the name uncultured bacterium. Its description in RNAcentral is "partial 16S ribosomal RNA". It matches the Rfam family "Bacterial small subunit ribosomal RNA", at positions 28 to 507 of the family's 1533-position model. The record is from RNAcentral.
GAUGAACGCUGGCGGCGUGCCUAAUACAUGCAAGUCGAGCGAACAGACGAGGAGCUUGCUCCUCUGACGUUAGCGGCGGACGGGUGAGUAACACGUGGAUAACCUACCUAUAAGACUGGGAUAACUUCGGGAAACCGGAGCUAAUACCGGAUAACAUGUUGAACCGCAUGGUUCAACAGUGAAAGACGGUCUUGCUGUCACUUAUAGAUGGAUCCGCGCCGCAUUAGCUAGUUGGUAAGGUAACGGCUUACCAAGGCAACGAUGCGUAGCCGACCUGAGAGGGUGAUCGGCCACACUGGAACUGAGACACGGUCCAGACUCCUACGGGAGGCAGCAGUAGGGAAUCUUCCGGAAUGGGCGAAAGCCUGACGGAGCAACGCCGCGUGAGUGAAGAAGGUCUUCGGAUCGUAAAACUCUGUUAUUAGGGAAGAACAAAUGUGUAAGUAACUAUGCACGUCUUGACGGUACCUAAUCAGAAAGCCACGGCUAACUACGUG